AGUCACAUGUUAUAGUUCAUAAGUCAAAGGCACCAUUCACAAAUCACUGAUUAUAUUGUGUAUGUCACAGAUGUUCAUAGGUCACUUGUUAUAGUUGAUGGGUCAAUAUUAAUUGUCAUAAGUAACCGUUCAUAAGUAAUAUAUCAAUAUCUACAUGUCGCAUAUCUAAGAAAAGUGGUUACAGGUCAUUGGAACAAUAUUAAAGGCAACAAAUCAAUGUAAAGUCAAGAGAAUUGAUCACAUGCCGUUGAUUUCUCCGAAUUUGUCACAAAUUCAAUUAACUAGUCUUCGACAAUAAAAAUUGAAGUUAUUUGAUCCAGUAAGUACUCUUUAUAUUACAUUACUGUCUGUUUUCAAUUCCACUUUAAAAAAAUAGAUUCAAAUUACACCAACGCUACUCAGUCGUUGAUGUUCUUCAAUGAUUGCUAUGUUUCUUCCUUUCUCUCUUUAAUAUUUGAGCUAACUAUGAUUAGUUAUCGAUGAACGAUGAUCAAUUUGUCGCUAAAAAAGUUGCUCAGUCAUCGACGAUAUUUGUAAAUUCUAUCUUUUGCCCAACGAAGUUAUUUAAAUGUCGAUGAUUAUGAGAGUGGAUGCUGGCGAGUGAAUGUUGAUGACAGGUUGAUGCUGACGACUG
Molecule: long non-coding RNA, 634 nt
Filed under: Olea europaea (common olive)
Lineage: Eukaryota; Viridiplantae; Streptophyta; Magnoliopsida; Lamiales; Oleaceae
Description: long non-coding RNA (OEUR_LNC001450)
Source: RNAcentral